RNAcentral lists this transfer RNA (70 nucleotides) under Lepidocybium flavobrunneum (escolar). RNAcentral's name for it is "tRNA-Pro". It matches the Rfam family "tRNA". From Rfam's summary of the family: Transfer RNA (tRNA) molecules are approximately 80 nucleotides in length. Their secondary structure includes four short double-helical elements and three loops (D, anti-codon, and T loops). The record is from RNAcentral. Lineage: Eukaryota; Metazoa; Chordata; Actinopteri; Scombriformes; Gempylidae.
CAAAGAAUAGUUUAGUUUAGAAUCCUAACUUUGGGAGUUAGGGGUGGGAGUUAGAAUCUCCUUUCUUUGA